This 257-nucleotide ribosomal RNA is filed under the name uncultured Glomus. RNAcentral describes it as "partial 18S ribosomal RNA". It matches the Rfam family "Eukaryotic small subunit ribosomal RNA", at positions 624 to 886 of the family's 1831-position model. Lineage: Eukaryota; Fungi; Glomeromycota; Glomeromycetes; Glomerales; Glomeraceae. The record is from RNAcentral.
AAGCUCGUAGUUGAAUUUCGGGUUAGUAGGUUGGUCAUGCCUCUGGUAUGUACUGGUCUCACUGAUUCCUCCUUCCUGAUGAACCGUAAUGCCAUUAAUUUGGUGUUGCGGGGAAUUUGGACUGUUACUUUGAAAAAAUUAGAGUGUUUAAAGCAAGCUAACGCUUGAAUACAUUAGCAUGGAAUAAUGAAAUAGGACGUUCGAUCCUAUUUUGUUGGUUUCUAGGAUUGACGUAAUGAUUAAUAGGGAUAGUUGGG